GGAAACGAGAAUAAAACGUGAAGGAUAACGUUGCGUCAGCAACGGCCCGUAGGGCGAGGCGAAGCCGAGUCAUCCUGCACGACCCACCA
This 89-nucleotide small RNA is filed under the name Salmonella enterica subsp. enterica serovar Enteritidis. RNAcentral describes it as "partial RtT sRNA". It matches the Rfam family "RtT RNA", at positions 49 to 130 of the family's 130-position model. From Rfam's summary of the family: This family represents a bacterial cis-regulatory element known as RtT RNA. The exact function of RtT is unknown although it is thought that it may be involved in changing the cellular response in relation to amino acid starvation. The record is from RNAcentral. Lineage: Bacteria; Pseudomonadati; Pseudomonadota; Gammaproteobacteria; Enterobacterales; Enterobacteriaceae.